This 84-nucleotide transfer RNA is filed under the name Candidatus Nealsoniibacteriota bacterium. RNAcentral's name for it is "Candidatus Nealsonbacteria bacterium tRNA-Leu". It matches the Rfam family "tRNA". Rfam says of the family: Transfer RNA (tRNA) molecules are approximately 80 nucleotides in length. Their secondary structure includes four short double-helical elements and three loops (D, anti-codon, and T loops). Lineage: Bacteria; Candidatus Nealsoniibacteriota. The record is from RNAcentral.
GCCCUCGUGGUGGAAUUGGCAGACACCCUGGCUUCAGGAGCCAGGGACCGCAAGGUCGUGCAGGUUCAACUCCUGUCGAGGGCA